Setaria italica (foxtail millet) is the source of this 2000-nucleotide RNA transcript. It is a transcript of the gene named F-box/LRR-repeat protein At3g59200, with no coding region annotated. NCBI's taxonomy places the organism in Eukaryota, Viridiplantae, Streptophyta, Magnoliopsida, Poales, Poaceae. The transcript has 4 exons. The record is from RefSeq and is a predicted model, not a curated record.
GGUGUACCUGAGGACAAGAUUUGUGAAUGGGCGCACCGUGCCUCGGAACGCUUUGGUAAAGCCAUCACUGUCGUAAAAGCCCAUCGACGGCGGUGGUCGUAGUGCCGUGCAUACAACUUGUAUUUACUUAGGGUUGAGUGAGUGAGCAAAAGUGUGUUGUUUACUGUACGUGCUUUGUUUCCAUGAGAGUAAAUUUGUGUCCGUGUUAGGAUUAUGGCAGUGAAAGUCUUGGAGCUGGUCCUUUUUGUUUUAUCUUGAGAACUUUUAUGUAAUUAUGUGGUCAGGUCCUUCAAAUAACGUUUGUAGAAGAAGGGAUCCCGGAUCGGAGAUGGAUAUCCGCUAGUCCCGCUGCCUUGCUCGCCUUCAGCAGUAGCGCUGGAUGGAGGAGUACGCGGCGGGCAAGCUGAGGAGGCUGGUGCACCCCCGCGGCGUCAGCAAUGCACUCGGCCCUUCCUCCUCCUUCCACCUGGAGGAUCUCCCCGAGGAAAUUCAACUUGUUGUAUUGUCGCUGCUGCCACUAAAAGAGGCUGCAAGGACAAGCAUUCUUUCGAGAAACUGGAGAAUGCUCUGGACACAUUUCCCUAACCUUUGCUUUGAUGGCGCCGCCGACCAGUCCACUAAUGAUGAUAGUAUCAAAAUAGAAAGCGCAGUGUUCAUCGAGACAGUAAAUUCUAUUAUUCAGCAGCACGGUGGAAUAGGGCUCAAUAAGUUCAGCAUCAGGUGCAGCCUUCGGGACAACUCCUCAGAUCAUAUUGAUAGGUGGAUUCGCUUUGCAACUGCAUCAAAGGCUAAGAUUAUUGAUAUGAACCUGUGGCCGAAGAGGAAUAAUGUAGGACCAACCAGAAAUGUUUAUCGCUUCCCUCUUGAGGCUUUAGAUGCUCAAGAUGGCCCUUUUAUCCAAUCCUUGUUUCUCACCAAUGUUUCUAUAGAGCCACACUUGGUUAUUUGUGGCUUUAUGAGACUCAAGAAGCUUCAUUUGCACUGUGUUCAUAUAAUUGGAGAUCUUCCAGGCUUGCUAUUAAAUUGUUCUAGUCUUGAGGACUUGGAGCUCAUCACCUGCUCCGGUGUAACUGAUCUGAAUAUACCACACCAACUCGAUAAACUUAAUCAUUUGCUAAUUCGUUCCAAUAUAUGUGUCCAGAUGGUUGAGUUUCAUGUUCCUGAUCUUUCUCAUUUCGAGUACCAAGGUGAUGUAAUUCCUAUAGUGCUUCAUGGUCGCCCAACACUAGAGGAGGUAACCCUCAAGUUUCACAAGGCAUUAUUUGACCGAGACAAUAAUAGAGCAUUGAGUCAUGCCAUCACUGGAAUUCCCAGUAUUUCCACAGCGAAGGUGCUAAACGUGCAUACACAAAUGAUGGAAGAUCGACCAGUCUGGUCCUCACAGGGGUCCAAAUAACCACGCUAGACUUCUGCUGCUGGCUCACUAUUUAGAUUCUGCACCCAGAUUGGAGACGCUGCAAUUGCAUGCGAAUGUCUUAUGUUGUGGCGGGUGGUAGCCACUGCUGGCAUGGUGAGGAAGCCUCCUUCCGUAUGUGCAGCCUUGAUCGCCUCAAGACGGUCUACAUGAGUGGGUUCCAUUGCUUACCGGCCUCAGGUCGAGCUGCUGUGUGGCAUUCUGGAAAAUGGCACUGCGCUUGAGAAUGUGACCAUCCAACCAUUGGUGACGCCAUACGGCAAGAACUCAUUGAACAUAUACAUACCUGAGUACAAGAUUCGUGAUUGGGUUCGUCGUGUAUCGCAACGCUAUGGUAAAGUGAUCACUGUUGUAGAGGCCCCUCGACAGUGUUUGGGUCAUGUUUAUUAGCAAUGUAUUGCUCUGAACUGUAUGUUUUGUUCGUGUGGGAGUAAAUUUAUGUCCGCGUUAAGAUUAUGGCAACGUUGGAACUGGUUCUCUGAUCUCAUCUCGAAAACAAGUUGGCUGUGUAUGUUGAGAAAAUUGAUUUUGUUUCCCAAUAGAUGCUAUGUAUUAAAUUGGAAAUCACAAAUGUUAAAAUUAAGGA